GAGUAUGCUCUCAUGCUUCUCCAGUCCAGGAAGAUUGUGAACAUAUUCAAGCUGACCCGAAAAAUGGCGAGAUGGGGGUUCCUUCUCCAACAAACUAAGAAGGGGCCGUACAUUCUCUUGCGGAGUAGCUGUUGAAGCAGGAAAUCACGAACUCAACUAAGAAGGGGCCGUACAUUCUCUUGUGGAGUAGCUGCUGAAGCAGGAAAUCCAUAUGAUGCCCUGUCAGUUGAUAUUCUACUUGUAUUACCACCUCUUUGCUGCCUAAGGCC
RNAcentral lists this long non-coding RNA (269 nucleotides) under Nicotiana benthamiana. RNAcentral describes it as "long non-coding RNA (NBEN_LNC009873)". Lineage: Eukaryota; Viridiplantae; Streptophyta; Magnoliopsida; Solanales; Solanaceae. The record is from RNAcentral.